Molecule: transfer RNA, 84 nt
Filed under: Vallitaleaceae bacterium
Lineage: Bacteria; Bacillati; Bacillota; Clostridia; Lachnospirales; Vallitaleaceae
Description: tRNA-Leu
Rfam family: tRNA
About the family: Transfer RNA (tRNA) molecules are approximately 80 nucleotides in length. Their secondary structure includes four short double-helical elements and three loops (D, anti-codon, and T loops). Further hydrogen bonds mediate the characteristic L-shaped molecular structure. tRNAs have two regions of fundamental functional importance: the anti-codon, which is responsible for specific mRNA codon recognition, and the 3' end, to which the tRNAs corresponding amino acid is attached (by aminoacyl-tRNA synthetases). tRNAs cope with the degeneracy of the genetic code in two manners: having more than one tRNA (with a specific anti-codon) for a particular amino acid; and 'wobble' base-pairing, i.e. permitting non-standard base-pairing at the 3rd anti-codon position.
Source: RNAcentral
GCCCGAGUGGCGGAAUUGGCAGACGCACAGGACUUAAAAUCCUGCGGUGUAACAACCGUACCGGUUCGAGUCCGGUCUCGGGCA